UACGAAGGGGCUAGCGUUGCUCGGAAUCACUGGGCGUAAAGCGCACGUAGGCGGAUUGCUAAGUCAGGGGUGAAAUCCUGGAGCUCAACUCCCAGAACUGCCUUUGAUACUGGCGAUCUUGAGUCCGGGAGAGGUGAGUGGAACUGCGAGUGUAGAGGUGAAAUUCGUAGAUAUUCGCAAGAACACCAGUGGCGAAGGCGGCUCACUGGCCCGUAUACUGACGCUGAGGUGCGAAAGCGUGGGAGCGAACGGG
Molecule: ribosomal RNA, 253 nt
Filed under: uncultured bacterium
Lineage: Bacteria
Description: partial 16S ribosomal RNA
Rfam family: Bacterial small subunit ribosomal RNA
Source: RNAcentral